RNAcentral lists this ribosomal RNA (477 nucleotides) under uncultured bacterium. RNAcentral describes it as "partial 16S ribosomal RNA". It matches the Rfam family "Bacterial small subunit ribosomal RNA", at positions 30 to 507 of the family's 1533-position model. The record is from RNAcentral.
AUUGAACGCUGGCGGCAUGCCUUACACAUGCAAGUCGAACGGUAACAGGUUAAGCUGACGAGUGGCGAACGGGUGAGUAAUGUAUCGGAACGUGCCCAGUCGUGGGGGAUGACUGCUCGAAAGAGCAGCUAAUACCGCAUACGACCUGAGGGUGAAAGCGGGGGAUCGCAAGACCUCGCGCGAUUGGAGCGGCCGAUAUCAGAUUAGGUAGUUGGUGAGGUAAAGGCUCACCAAGCCGACGAUCUGUAGCUGGUCUGAGAGGACGACCAGCCACACUGGGACUGAGACACGGCCCAGACUCCUACGGGAGGCAGCAGUGGGGAAUUUUGGACAAUGGGCGCAAGCCUGAUCCAGCCAUGCCGCGUGCGGGAAGAAGGCCUUCGGGUUGUAAACCGCUUUUGUCAGGGAAGAAAAGGUUCUGGCUAAUACCUGGGACUCAUGACGGUACCUGAAGAAUAAGCACCGGCUAACUACGUG